Molecule: small RNA, 17 nt
Filed under: Arabidopsis thaliana (thale cress)
Lineage: Eukaryota; Viridiplantae; Streptophyta; Magnoliopsida; Brassicales; Brassicaceae
Description: ATSL285360
Source: RNAcentral
AGUCCGAGAAAGAUUCG